Felis catus (domestic cat) is the source of this 9533-nucleotide RNA transcript. It is a transcript of the gene named ataxin 2, with no coding region annotated. Lineage: Eukaryota; Metazoa; Chordata; Mammalia; Carnivora; Felidae. The transcript has 28 exons. The record is from RefSeq and is a predicted model, not a curated record.
CCCCCCUCCCUCCGGGCAGCGCUCGCCUCCCUCCGCCUCAGACUGUUUUGGUAGCAACGGCAACGGCGGCGGCGCGUCCCUGCCCGGCUCCCGGCGGCUCCUCGGUUUCAGCGGGCCUCCCCGCCCCUUCGUCGUUCUCCUUCUCCCUCUCGCCGGCCCGGGCGCCCCCCCGGCCGCGCCAUCCCGCGCCUCCCCGCUCGGCGCCCGCGCGUCCCCGCCGCGCUCCGGCGUCUCUUCGGCGCGCCCGGCUCCCGGCUGUCCCCGCCCGGCGUGCGGGCCGGUGUAUGGGCCUCUCACCAUGUCGCUGAAGCCCCAGCAGCAGCAGCAGCAGCAGCAGCAGCCGCCCGCGGCUGCCAAUGCCCGUAAGCCCGGCGGCAGCGGCGGCCUUCUCACGUCGCCCGCCACCGCGCCGUCGCCGUCCUCAAUCGCGUCGUCUUCGGCAGUGGCUUCCUCCUCCUCGGUGGCGGCGGCGAGCGCAGGCGGCGGGCGGCCCGGCCUGGGCAGAGGUCGAAACAGCAAAGGACUGCCUCAAUCUACGAUUUCUUUUGAUGGAAUCUAUGCAAAUAUGAGGAUGGUUCAUAUACUUACAUCAGUUGUUGGAUCCAAAUGUGAAGUACAAGUGAAAAACGGAGGUAUAUAUGAAGGAGUUUUUAAAACCUACAGUCCUAAGUGUGAUUUGGUACUUGAUGCUGCACAUGAGAAAAGUAUGGAAUCCAGUUCGGGGCCAAAACGUGAAGAAAUAAUGGAGAGUAUUUUGUUCAAGUGUUCAGACUUUGUUGUGGUGCAGUUUAAAGACAUGGACUCCAGUUACGCAAGAAGAGUUCCUUCAGAAACAGACGCUUUUACUGACUCUGCUAUCAGUGCUAAAGUGAAUGGUGAACACAAAGAGAAGGACCUGGAGCCCUGGGAUGCAGGUGAACUCACUACCAGUGAGGAACUGGAGGCUUUGGAAAACGACGUAUCUAAUGGAUGGGAUCCCAAUGAUAUGUUUCGAUAUAAUGAAGAAAAUUAUGGUGUAGUGUCUACAUAUGAUAGCAGUUUAUCUUCAUAUACGGUACCCUUAGAAAGGGAUAACUCAGAAGAAUUUUUAAAACGAGAAGCAAGGGCAAACCAGUUAGCAGAAGAAAUUGAAUCAAGUGCCCAGUACAAAGCCCGAGUGGCCCUGGAAAAUGAUGAUAGGAGUGAAGAAGAAAAAUACACAGCAGUUCAGAGAAAUUCGAGUGAACGUGAGGGCCACGGCAUAAACACUAGGGAAAAUAAAUAUAUUCCUCCUGGACAAAGAAACAGAGAAGUCAUAUCCUGGGGAAGUGGGAGACAGAAUUCACCGCGUAUGGGCCAGCCUGGAUCGGGCUCCAUGCCAUCAAGAUCCACCUCUCACACUUCAGAUUUCAACCCGAAUUCUGGUUCAGACCAAAGAGUAGUUAAUGGAGUUUUUAUACUUUCCUUCAUAUCAUUUGUUCUGUCAGGUGUUCCCUGGCCAUCGCCUUGCCCAUCUCCUUCCUCUCGCCCACCUUCUCGCUACCAGUCAGGUCCCAACUCUCUUCCACCUCGGGCAGCCACCCCUACACGGCCGCCCUCCAGGCCCCCCUCGCGGCCAUCCAGACCCCCGUCUCACCCCUCUGCUCAUGGUUCUCCAGCUCCUGUCUCUACUAUGCCUAAACGCAUGUCUUCAGAAGGGCCUCCGAGGAUGUCCCCAAAGGCCCAGCGACACCCUCGAAAUCACAGAGUUUCUGCUGGGAGGGGUUCCAUUUCCAGUGGCCUAGAAUUUGUAUCCCAUACUCCACCAAGUGAAGCAGCUGCUCCUCCAGCAGCAAGGACCAGUCCUGCGGGGGGCACAUGGUCAUCAGUGGUCAGCGGGGUUCCAAGAUUAUCCCCUAAAACUCACAGACCCAGGUCUCCCAGACAGAACAGUAUUGGAAAUACUCCUCCUGGGCCAGUUCUUGGUUCUCCCCAAGCUGGUAUUAUUCCAGCUGAAGCUGUUGCUAUGCCUGUUCCAGCUGCAUCUCCCACGCCUGCCAGUCCUGCAUCCAAUAGAGCUGUUACCCCAUCUAUUGAGGCUAAGGAUUCCAGGCUUCAAGAUCAGAGGCAGAAUUCUCCUGCAGGGAAUAAAGAAAAUAUGAAGCCCAGUGAAACAUCACCUAGCUUCUCAAAGACUGAAAAUAAAGGUAUAUCCCCAAUUGUUUCUGAACAUAGAAAACAGAUUGAUGACUUAAAGAAGUUUAAGAAUGAUUUUAGGUUACAGCCAAGUUCUACUUCUGAAUCUAUGGAUCAACUGCUAAACAAAAAUAGAGAGGGAGAAAAAUCAAGAGAUUUGGUCAAAGACAAAAUUGAACCAAAUGCUAAGGAUUCUUUCGUUGAAAAUAGCAGCAGCAAUUGCACCAGUGGCAGCAGCAAACCGAGCAGUCCCAGCAUUUCUCCUUCAGUCCUCAGUAAUGCGGAGCACAAGAGGGGACCUGAGGUCACAUCCCAAGGGGUUCAGACUUCCAGUCCGGGAUGCAAACAAGAUAAAGAUGAUAAAGAGGAGAAGAAAGAUGCAGCUGAGCAAGUGAGAAAAUCAACACUGAAUCCUAAUGCAAAGGAGUUUAACCCUCGUUCCUUUUCUCAGCCAAAGCCUUCUACCACCCCGACUUCACCUCGUCCUCAAGCACAACCUAGCCCAUCUAUGGUGGGUCAUCAGCAGCCAGCUCCAGUUUAUACUCAGCCUGUCUGUUUUGCACCAAAUAUGAUGUAUCCAGUCCCAGUGAGCCCAGGCGUGCAACCUUUAUACCCUAUACCUAUGACGCCCAUGCCAGUGAAUCAAGCCAAGACAUAUAGAGCAGGUAAAGUACCAAAUAUGCCCCAACAGCGGCAAGACCAGCAUCAUCAGAGCACCAUGAUGCACCCAGCCUCAGCAGCAGGCCCACCGAUUGUGGCCACCCCACCAGCUUAUUCCACACAAUAUGUUGCCUAUAGUCCUCAGCAGUUUCCAAAUCAGCCUCUUGUUCAGCAUGUGCCACAUUAUCAGUCUCAGCAUCCUCAUGUCUAUAGUCCUGUAAUACAGGGUAAUGCUAGAAUGAUGGCACCACCAGCACAUGCCCAGCCUGGUUUAGUGUCUUCUUCAGCAACUCAGUACGGGGCUCAUGAGCAGACGCAUGCGAUGUAUGCAUGCCCCAAAUUACCAUACAACAAGGAGACAAGCCCUUCUUUCUACUUUGCCAUUUCCACUGGCUCCCUUGCUCAGCAGUAUGCGCACCCUAAUGCUACCCUGCACCCACAUACUCCACAUCCUCAGCCUUCAGCUACUCCCACCGGACAGCAGCAAAGCCAACAUGGUGGAAGUCAUCCUGCACCCAGUCCGGUUCAGCACCAUCAGCACCAGGCCGCCCAGGCGCUCCAUCUGGCCAGUCCACAGCAGCAGUCAGCCAUUUACCACGCGGGGCUCGCACCAACCCCACCUUCCAUGACCCCUGCCUCCAAUACGCAGUCGCCACAGAAUAGUUUCCCAACAGCACAACAGACCGUCUUUACGAUUCAUCCUUCUCAUGUUCAGCCGGCAUACACCAAUCCUCCCCACAUGGCCCAUGUACCUCAGGCUCAUGUACAGUCAGGAAUGGUUCCUUCUCAUCCAACUGCCCAUGCGCCAAUGAUGCUAAUGACGACACAGCCACCCGGCGGUCCCCAGGCCGCCCUCGCUCAAAGUGCACUACAGCCCAUUCCAGUCUCGACAACAGCGCAUUUCCCCUAUAUGACGCACCCUUCAGUUCUGGUUCAAGGUAUCUCUAGAAAAAGACAAGACUGAGACAUUCUCUUUGGUGGAUAAAGGUCCGCUCCAGAAGGAGGAAGGCUGGCCAGAGCUGGGCAGCACUGAGAUCCCACAUCCUCAGCCUGACGCUGGUUCUAAAUGAUCAAAGGCAGAAGAUUUAUACCAGAUAAAGCCAUAUGGAUUGCUGGUCUAAAAUUCAAGGCAGGUUAGUUGACUUAAUUCUUUGGUGCUGGUGACUAUUAGUUUGUAAAAGUUGAUUCAAGACGGAAGAAUGGAGUGAUGGUGCUGGGAGCAGUCAGGCUGUCCUUGUCGUUUGUGACCGGAGAGAACUGGAGGGUCGUGAUGCUUACGUUCUUUUGGCACUCAGAGCCUGGGCUCCCGGUGGGGGCUGUUGGUUCCUUGCUGCCAGCAGCGGUCACACUGGGGCCAGGAGGAGGAGGGUGGUGGGAUAUGCUGUGACCACGAUGGGCUGGCGGGGACAUUGCCUCAUUGGCUGUGAAGGCAUCAAGCCCGGGGAGCCUUUCCCUCGAGCUGAACCUGCUCUAGCAGAAAGUAAAGGCAUUGGCUCAGUGUCACUUCUUCCCAGGCCAUGAGGGGGCUUUUUUUUCAGGAGGUAUUUGAGCUGUCCUGGCAACUCAGACAUGUUUAAAAAGGAAGCGUUUUCCUUGAACACUUUACACCGAAGCAGUCUGGAGGUGGGUGACUCCCAAUUAUCUGUCACGGAGUCUGAUCUUGUCCUCUGUAGCCAGUGGGUCAGAGCUGCUGGUUGGCUGUGCCUGGCUUGCCUCCUGGCAUUAACCUGAGAAUUGUAUGGUGAGAAGCUAAGGAGUGAGUGCCCCUACCUUAAAGAGGUCACAUCCCAGAUGUUUACACUUCUGGCUACAGGGAGGGGAAAAACUUGGGUUGUUGGCUACUUGGCCCCUUUCCUGUGCAGACAAGGGGAAAAUCUGUACCAGUGACUUGUCAGCAUUGACUUUCUAGAAUGAGCUUUCUCUUUUAAAAGAGAAAUAGGAACAGUGCUUACUUUUCUGGAUCACACCUCACUUAGCAUUCAUUACUUAGAGAAACAUGCCUUGUGUAGAAAAGGAAAGAAAAGUGUCCUUAGAAAAAGACCACUGAUUUGGAUCAGGAAUGGAUCUGCUUUGCAAUCUGUGAAAACACUCAGGAGCAUUGGUUUUUAAAGUGGUGAAGAGGGGACUGCUUCCUCCCCCGCCCCCCCCCCAAUUUUUUUUUUUUUUUUUUUUUUUUUUACAGAAGUCUGACCUCUGGGAGCACAGAGAAUGGCUAGAGGGAGCAAACCAAACCCUCACCCCAGAUAAGGCAGGCAGUAGUUAGUCGUAGGCCAGGGUUUAAAUUUAGUUUCUGAGUGAUGUGUCUAUAAAUGUUAAGUUGUGCUAAACUCUCAGUUUCCUAGAAGCCAGCCUGGUGACUGUGUCAAAUGUCUCUGCUGGCACCCAGAGCAGCUGGCUCCACUCUGUCACUGCCCCCUUGUUUCUGAGCCUCUGCCUGAAAGUUCUGGGAGGAGCCAGCCCCCCUGUGAAUUCUAUCCCUGGUGAAAGGCAAGUAUAGAUGGAGAUUUAACUGCAGGACCCCACCCCCCAGCUGUUGGAGAUGUGCGCCCAAGUGUGUACGCACACACAUUCCUCCUCAAGUGAAGCAGCUGGAACGGAACACUGAGUGUGGGCUGUUAAAGGAAUUUCUCACUAGUUGUGGCACCAGAUUUCCUAGUUCCCAUUUUGAUUCAAGAACAAGCCCAAAACCUUGCGGGAUAGUUUAUGAGCCAGCCGUUAAAUGCUUGGGGGGGGGGGGGGGGGGGUUCCGAGCCAGCCCUGGUGGUGAAGGAUUUUUUAGAAGAAAGGGGCCAGGAGCCCUUCCUCCCUUUUUGCUUGCUCCUUCCUCGCCCCUUAUCACCCCUUGGGUAAACUGGUUUAACCAUAAAGCUACUGUAAACCAGAAUCCAGUUUUUUUGUUCGUUAAGGCACCAGGGUAGAAUUCCUCCUUGCCACCCUGUUUCAGUAGUUGCCUGAAUUUCCCUGAAAGGGUGAUGUACUUCACUUCUCCACAUUUAGGAAGGACAGUGGCUACUCAGCAGCAGGUGACUGUCCUGAGGAUGCAAAAGACACAGAAGCCAGGCAUGCUGGCUCAGACUGGGAACAAGUCAAGUAGGGUUUGCAUAGCUGUCUCAGACUGCAAAAUCGCAUGAGUAUUAAAGAGUGCAACAAAAUAAGCAAUGGUUUAGUUUUGAAACCUGAAUCCUUUGAAAAGUUAAUCUGAGGUAAAGUGUUUAAAAUCAUUUUAACCUUGAGCUUUGUCCCGAAGCUGAGUCGGAGCAGGAUUGAUGUGUUCACCUACGGCACAGGGAGUGGCAGGCCUCCACGUGGACCGAGGCCACAAUGGGUGAACCGUAGGUGAAUCCAGGGCUUGUUAGUGUUUUGGGCUUCCUGACGACCCUCCCACCCCCCCCGAAAGUCUGUCAUCAGCUGUGACAGUGUCAGUGAAAAAGAGAACCAAGGUUCGGCCUGCCAGAUCUGGCCCUCACCCCACCACCUCCUAUAAGAGGGAUGGGGACCGGUCCUAGGGACCCAGGGUGGGAGCUCGCGGCCUCUGCGAACAAGAACUACAUCUGUAAACAAUAAGGAGAAAGCCAGGUGAUGGAUGGAUAAAACUUAUAGGAGGCCCUUCAACAGGCCUAAUAGAAGGGUCACAUCCAAACUGGAACGAGCAGUUAACAGUGUCCCUUAAAUCUCUCUCUGGAAGGAAGGAAAGAAGGUUACAUUCACAAGUUCACAUCUCCGCUUGCUUGUGCUCCUCGGGGGCACGUGUGAGGCCUAGGGUUCCUCACCGCCCGUCAGAGAGGCGUGUACUGGUUGUCUAUGGCCCGGAGAUGGCUCCGGGAGGAGGAGUCCAUUUCGUAGUCUGAGUCCCGGGCUCGACUGGUGGGUUCAGGCUCCAGGUGCCGCAGGCUGUUGGCCAGUUCCUCAGGUGAAGGCACCAGGUGGAAUAUCUGCUCUGGGGGAGAGGAUCGGCCUGGGAGACCCUCCGGGCCCAGCCCCCGUGGACAGCCAGAAGAACUGAGAUGGGGAAGGCCCAGCUCCGAAUCCCAGUGCGCGAGGGAGAAAGGGAACAGGACAGUGCUGGAGGAACCUGGGGGACAAGUGACCAAGAGAGAGACCGGCGCUGUCAGUCUUAAUGUGACAGAGGGGCUAAAUGUCGAAAGAACACAAAACCAUCGCUGUGGCUCUGGGUUUGCAGCGAGCGUGUACCCUCUGCCUGGUUCCCUCUGCCGCCCACCCCCUUUAUCAAGGGUCACACCUGGUGGCUGGGAGACGACUACCACGUAGCUGGACAGGCGGACGUCACAGGCAGCACCGCACUCAAGCGGGAUGGGCGAGCGCUGGAAGUGGUGGAGCAUGUCCACGACAGAGGGGAAGUGGAGGUGCUGCACUCGGCACUGGCCCCGCUCGGUCAGCGACAGGCGCAGGUGCUACAGGGGGCGAGUACAGUAGGCUCAGGCACUGGCCGCUGCAGGCCUUCAACCUGGGGGCAGGGGGACCAGCCCGCCUGCCGUGCCCCAUACCUUGGCGAUGCCUUGGAAGUUGAACGUGAGCACAUACUCUCCGCGCCGUGUCUCACUCUGCCGCACCAGGAACACUCCAUGAGCAUCCGGACCCUGCAGCUGAACCAGCUGAGCUGCCUUCACUCGGGAGAUGGGGCCAUGGAACCAGGGGUAGCAGGACAGGAAGUGAUCUGUUUUCUGACAGGUUGGGUCCAGCAACCCCCCAGGAGAAGCACCUGGUAGACAAGAUGGGGGAUGAUGGCCCCCUGUGGGUGCCUGAUGUCCUGGGCUAAAGCUGGUUCUGACUUACAUGGAGGACAGAGGCCUAGACCCACUCACCUUGGUUCAGGGAAUCCGUGCUCCCCCCCGGAGAGUUGGACGUGCCAGGCUCUAGGGCUGAGGGAAUAUGUGUCUCUGGGUCUGUGCUCUCCAGCCUGCCGAAGAGGCUGAGGUUAGGAUCUGGGUAGAUCGGGGGAGCAGGAAAGGCUGUGCCAGGAGUAGAGCCCUAUGUUCUGGGGCCUCACCCUUGGCCUGUGCACUCCCGGAGCUCAGCCAUCCAGGAAUUCAGCUGCUGCUCGUCCUCCACCUCGAAGAUGAUGUCGGUCCGGUCCUUCACCUGGUAGGGAGGAAAGCAGCGAGUGUGUGGGUGCCUCAGGUGUGUGAAUGUAUGACACCCCCCCACCCCCACCCCGGGUGUGGAAAGCUGUCACUCACCUUCAGGACAAAGGUGUAGAGGUUGUCUGGCAUCUCGAGGCGUGUGCAUCGCCGGACCUCCUGGAUAUUGGUGCAGGUUGCCUGUAGCUUGGGCUUUGAACUCUAGGUAGGAGACCAAGGCGCACACUUGAGGUUUGUCCCUCACGGCCCUUCACCCACCCAGGCCUCUGUGUGUUUCUGCAGUCUUCCCGGGGGCUUAGCUUGCCAAGUGAGCACUCAUGAUGCCAGGCCUGGGGAAAGGCCUAGCAUCCCGGUUUGCAGAAGCCUGCCGAGGGCCCUUCUCCCAUAGCCUCUUAAACACUGACUUCACCCCCUAAACACUGCGACCUACAGAAACCAAAGUGCGAUGAGGGCCAACGCCCUCUUGACCUGAACCUGUGGACACUCCAGCUGUGACAUGUGUUUGCCUGCUGACAUCUGUCUCCCCUUCCACUGGUGGAACAAAGAGCACCGAAUCCAGCCAGGUCACAUCAAAACAGACCUGGAGAGUGGACACGAGGACAUCCGAUCCAAGUCACAUUUCCCUGUGUGGUGCUGACUGCCAGGGGCUUGGGUGAUCAUCCUGCCUUUAGCUUCUCCCCUCUGCCCCGCGUCAAUUCCCCAUUAGUGCAGGCUUCUGACCAAACAUCAGCCAUAGGAAACCCAUGAUGUCACCACAUCUUAAAGACAAGAAACACAAUUUCUUGGAGGUGAAGCCAUUUGCCUGAAAGAGGGUAGAUCGGUUUUAACCUCUGUCCACAGCAUACAGCCUAGAACCUCAAACUCCCACAUCUGCCUGCCUUCAAAUCUGAGCAUAAGGAGGGGUGGGUUUGGCUACAGGGUGUGGGGGCCGGGGGGAGGGGUAGCAGAGUAGCUUAACCACAGGCUCUUGGGGCCUCUGCCAACAUGCCUAAAGAGGCAAAGCCUAAUCUGGCCCCAGUUACAACCAGCUGGAAACUGACACAAAACCUUGGGCCCGGGAGGCUCCCAUGACGUCCAGCAUACACAGGGAUUCGGAGUGCGUGGGAGGUGGUCCCCUACUGCUUUGCCACCAAGAGCACCUUUUCUGACUCAACCUGGCAGGAGCUGACCUUGGCAGAUGCCUGUUUCCAGGGAGCCAGCAUCUCCUCCUCUUCCCUUUGUGAUCAGACUGAUGAGAUUGUUUUUCCAGGGUCACGAGAUGAUCAAUGGCUGCUCCCAGCACAGGCCAAAAGCAGAUGAGAACGAAGGAAGAAGGCAGAGAUGAUGGGGGAAUUGAUGGGAAAACCCAACUGGGCCCCUGCCUCCAGUACCUCUUCUCUUCCCCUGGGGCCAGGAGACAUCCAGGGGUCCAGGACCUGGAGAUAACACCUGGCAUUCUUUCAACCUUACAGAACCUCUUUGUAACCUGCUCCUUACCAUCCUGCAAUGAAAUUGAUAUGUAACCUGACCUACCUGUGUAAGUGCCCUGAUGAAGAUAAAGGAAAAAGAAAAUGUAAUCUGUAUUAAAAUAAAAUGUAUUUCAGUGUGAUUAUGCAGAUAAUACAGUGAGCUGCUCCAGUA